GUGAGGAAUAUUGCGCAAUGGAGGCAACUCUGACGCAGCCAUGCCGCGUGCAGGAAGAAGGCGCUACGCGUUGUAAACUGCUUUUAACCGGGAAGAAGCCCCAGGACGUGUCCUGGGUUGACGGUACCGGAGGAAUAAGCACCGGCUAACUUCGUGCCAGCAGCCGCGGUAAUACGAAGGGUGCAAGCGUUAUCCGGAUUCAUUGGGUUUAAAGGGUGCGUAGGCGGAGCGUUAAGUCAGUGGUGAAAUCCUGCAGCUUAACUGUAGACUUGCCAUUGAUACUGGCGCUCUUGAGUGCGCUUGAAGUGGGCGGAAUGUGCCGUGUAGCGGUGAAAUGCUUAGAUAUGGCACAGAACACCAAUUGCGAAGGCAGCUCACUAAGGCGAUACUGACGCUGAGGCACGAAAGCGUGGGGAUCGAAUAGGAUUAGAUACCCCGGUAGUCC
Molecule: ribosomal RNA, 445 nt
Filed under: uncultured bacterium
Lineage: Bacteria
Description: partial 16S ribosomal RNA
Rfam family: Bacterial small subunit ribosomal RNA
Source: RNAcentral